AACGAACGCUGGCGGCAUGCCUAACACAUGCAGGUCGAACGAACCCUUCGGGGUUAGUGGCGCACGGGUGCGUAACGCGUGGGAAUCUGCCCUUUGCUUCGGAAUAACUCAGGGAAACUUGUGCUAAUACCGGAUGAUGUCUUCGGACCAAAGAUUUAUCGGCAAGGGAUGAGCCCGCGUAGGAUUAGGUAGUUGGUGGGGUAAAGGCCUACCAAGCCGACGAUCCUUAGCUGGUCUGAGAGGAUGAUCAGCCACACUGGGACUGAGACACGGCCCAGACUCCUACGGGAGGCAGCAGUGGGGAAUAUUGGACAAUGGGCGCAAGCCUGAUCCAGCAAUGCCGCGUGAGUGAUGAAGGCCCUCGGGUCGUAAAGCUCUUUUACCAGGGAUGAUAAUGACAGUACCUGGAGAAUAAGCUCCGGCUAACUCCGUG
Molecule: ribosomal RNA, 433 nt
Filed under: uncultured bacterium
Lineage: Bacteria
Description: partial 16S ribosomal RNA
Rfam family: Bacterial small subunit ribosomal RNA
Source: RNAcentral